UCCUAAUGGACCGCGUAAAAAAUUGCAUUAUUUAUUUUAAUAAAUUUAUAAUUGCGAGAAUUACAUAAAAUAUACUAAUUAAAUUUGAAAAGAUAAAUAAUGGAUUCAAAUUUUAAAGUCAAAGUAACGUUGAGUAACUCAAAUCAAACAAAUUAAUUAAAAAGUUGAAUAGUAAAAUCAAAGUUUAAAAAGAUCGGAUAGCCGACUCAAAAUGGCCCAUAUCUCAGAUAAGUUCUGUAUGUUUUUGCCUAAAGUUUAUUUCUAAUUAAAGAAUUGAAAGGAGAGUAGACUUUGUUUUUAGA
This 302-nucleotide long non-coding RNA is filed under the name Ananas comosus (pineapple). RNAcentral describes it as "long non-coding RNA (ACOM_LNC009401)". Lineage: Eukaryota; Viridiplantae; Streptophyta; Magnoliopsida; Poales; Bromeliaceae. The record is from RNAcentral.